UGGUUAAUUUUUGACCAUUUUCUCCCUUCUGCUCCCGCCAUGCCGCGUGCGGGAAGAAGGCCUUCGGGUUGUAAACCGCUUUUGUCAGGGAAGAAACGAGUUUCUCUAAUACAGAGACUUAAUGACGGUACCUGAAGAAUAAGCACCGGCUAACUACGUGCCAGCAGCCGCGGUAAUACGUAGGGUGCAAGCGUUAAUCGGAAUUACUGGGCGUAAAGCGUGCGCAGGCGGUUAUGCAAGACAGAGGUGAAAUCCCCGGGCUCAACCUGGGAACCGCCUUUGUGACUGCAUAGCUAGAGUACGGUAGAGGGGGAUGGAAUUCCGCGUGUAGCAGUGAAAUGCGUAGAUAUGCGGAGGAACACCGAUGGCGAAGGCAAUCCCCUGGACCUGUACUGACGCUCAUGCACGAAAGCGUGGGGAGCAAACA
This 427-nucleotide ribosomal RNA is filed under the name uncultured bacterium. RNAcentral describes it as "bacterial SSU rRNA". It matches the Rfam family "Bacterial small subunit ribosomal RNA", at positions 355 to 774 of the family's 1533-position model. The record is from RNAcentral.